Ixodes scapularis (black-legged tick) is the source of this 451-nucleotide long non-coding RNA. RefSeq lists it as uncharacterized. NCBI's taxonomy places the organism in Eukaryota, Metazoa, Arthropoda, Arachnida, Ixodida, Ixodidae. The transcript has 3 exons. The record is from RefSeq and is a predicted model, not a curated record.
UUUCCGGCCCGCUAGUAUCGCCGCGGCCUCUGCUGUUAUCGUGCUACCGCGCUCGCUUUCUCUUUUCGCGAGUGUUAUAUUCACUUUUAAAUUGCAAAGAUCAAAAGCGAGCAGACACGAAUGAGCCGCUUUCAAGUCUGGGCAAGCAAACAAGUGCGAGUCUCGAUUUAGGACCGGUGAUUGAUAGCCUCCGGCUCGCCACUAUUCUCCAUUUCAUCGAGCACGGUUUCAUCGAGCACGGCUACACGGGAAUCGGAAGAUCACUUCCUCGGUGCCUCGUCGUACACUGGAUGCACUCCAUACAUGGAAGGAACUGGCCUACUGUGGAUUUGUGGGAAAGAAGGAAAGGCCAGUGAGCAGGCAUUAACGGGGCCAAUGGACCAUAAAAAUGCCCCUCGUAACUUCUACUAAGGAAUGUGCUAUCCUUUUUGACUAUACCAGUCAAGUCGUG